RNAcentral lists this ribosomal RNA (468 nucleotides) under uncultured bacterium. RNAcentral describes it as "partial 16S ribosomal RNA". It matches the Rfam family "Bacterial small subunit ribosomal RNA", at positions 28 to 507 of the family's 1533-position model. The record is from RNAcentral.
GACGAACGCUGGCGGCGUGCUUAACACAUGCAAGUCGAACGGGAAGGCCCUGCUUUUGUGGGGUGCUCGAGUGGCGAACGGGUGAGUAACACGUGAGUAACCUGCCCUUGACUUUGGGAUAACUUCAGGAAACUGGGGCUAAUACCGGAUAGGAGCUCCUGCUGCAUGGUGGGGGUUGGAAAGUUUCGGCGGUUGGGGAUGGACUCGCGGCUUAUCAGCUUGUUGGUGGGGUAGUGGCUUACCAAGGCUUUGACGGGUAGCCGGCCUGAGAGGGUGACCGGCCACAUUGGGACUGGGAUACGGCCCAGACUCCUACGGGAGGCAGCAGUGGGGAAUAGUGCACAAUGGGCGGAAGCCUGAUGCAGCAACGCCGCGUGCGGGAUGACGGCCUUCGGGUUGUAAACCGCUUUCGCCUGUGACGAAGCGUGAGUGACGGUAAUGGGUAAAGAAGCACCGGCUAACUACGUG